RNAcentral lists this long non-coding RNA (5092 nucleotides) under Nicotiana benthamiana. RNAcentral describes it as "long non-coding RNA (NBEN_LNC020852)". Lineage: Eukaryota; Viridiplantae; Streptophyta; Magnoliopsida; Solanales; Solanaceae. The record is from RNAcentral.
AUGUUGAAAAGGUAUGAGCUCCCAGAUAGUUUUGAGGGAAGAAAGGAAUGGAUAAAACUAGGGACGCAGUUCCGCAGGCAAGUUGAGCCCUUGGAUAUUGCAAACUAUUACAGGCAUUUGAAGAAUGAAGAUACAGGACCUUACAUGAUCAGGGCUAGGCCGAAGCGUUAUAGGUUCACACAACGAUGGUUAGAGCAUGAAGAGAUGGUGGAAACCAAACUAUUACAGGCAUUUGAAGAAUGAAGAUACAGGACCUUACAUGAUCAGGGCUAGGCCGAAGCGUUAUAGGUUCACACAACGAUGGUUAGAGCAUGAAGAGAGGGUGCAAACAGGUGAACGCUCUGAGUCUUGUUUUUGGGCAGAAGUGGAGGAACUAAGAAACAAGCCAAUUAUGGAAGUGCAAAACAGGAUUUUGAGUUUAGAAACAAAGGCAUGGGAUUGGUCCCAGAGUGGCCUUCUGGGCGAUGAUGUUUUCUUCCCUGAGUCUACCUUUACCAAAUGGUGGAAACAACUCCCUACUCAGCACAGAAUGACAUCUUGGAUAUCAGGGAAAGUAAAUUCUUAGCGUCUUUUACAGCUCCAUAUUACGCCAGCGCCAGCGCCCUAAUGUUUUGAUAAUGAUUUGUCCUAGCCAGCUUGCGGGUACUCCUAGUCCAAUGCUAUACUAAGAGAAGCCAGAUGGUUCAUAAGUGAAAAACGUCUGGAUAGGCUGAAAGCACUACAUUACUUCAAUAAGACCAACUGUAUGGUAUCUUAGCUCAGAUAAUUGAAAAUGCCUCAAUAUUCCUAGGAACUGCUUUGCUUGUAUGGUAGAAUAGUAGCAAGCAUACCAACAUUCAAGUAUUUAAGGUGGAAUACUACAUGCUCACGUUUUCUCCAAGUAAGAACGUUUUAAGAACCUGAAUUCCUUAAAUUAACCACGCUGACAAAACUUGGAUUACACAACUUUUUUAAUAGGAAGAAAUAUGAACAACAUAAUAGCGGCAGAAGGCCAAGGUCUAGAUGUCAAAUAUUAAAUAUGAUUGUUAAUCCUUCUAGCAGAAAAAGGAUUCCACAACCAUCACAUCAUCAGAGGGGAAAGUAGCAUGUUUGCUACGAGUUCAACCAAAACCAGCAUUUUCAAUAUAUCUAUGUACAAAUUUCUAAAAUUUAAUCUUGAACUGCCUCUGUACAUCAUAAUUGCUUGGAAGGAAGGUCUCAGUUGCCUUCUGCAUGUAUGAGAUUCUUUUUCCUCUAUCUGUCACACUGACAGCCAAUUCCAUACACGAAUUUGGAAAACAUAACCUCAUGAAACUCCUGAACGUCACAAUAAUGUGUAAAUCACACAGAACCAAACUUGUGUGGGUGUGGGUCCUGUCCACCAACAACCUUAUCACACAUGGAAAACAUGCAAAGAUCUCAUUUAUUUAUCCCUGGACAAAAGCCUCUAACAGAAUAGAGGAACUUCAAUAAUAGCAAGGAGAUGAUCAACCAUAGUCCAAAGUCUUCUUCUCCAUGGAAAACCAAUCGACUUGUACAAGGGAAAAAGGAGCAAAACCACAUAAUUAAUGCUACUUCUUUACAAACAAUUGGCAGACUAACAUAAUCUUGUUAACAUCCAGUAAGCAGACAGCAGAAAUAAAGCUUAGAAAAAGUUUGAGAUACUCGAUAGAAGCUUUACAUAUAAAUGUCAGCCUUCAACAAAACUGACCAUAUUGAAGGACUUGAUAUUAACCUUUACCAGCUUGAGAGGGGAGGGAAGCAAAGCAAGGUGUAGGACAUUUUUUGACAUACUUCUAAAUGACAGCCCCCACCACCCUAGAAUGAUCCCAUUUUACAGGUUAAGGAAACUACUGACUGGCAAUAUAAUCCAAAUGUCCAGAAAGCACACAAGUAAGGCACACUUCGAAUAUAGAACUGUCAGGAAUGCAACGAUGACAAAAAUAACAACGUCAAACAUACAGAUGUUAGUCGCAUGAGAAUCUAAAUAUCAAUUCACUUCCUUCGUAAGGUAGAGCUUUAAUACAUAGCUUGUCUCAAAAAAUUUAUCAAUACUUAUCUGCUGCACUACAAGCCCAUAAUGUGGCAGGGAUGCAUUUUGUGGUUCAAUCCCAAAGUGAACUGAAGAUAUAAGUGAAAGCAACAGACCAGUUUACAAAUAUAGGUUGCUCAUUCACUCAGAUUCAUCACAAGCAGUCAAGAUGAAGAGCAGCAAAAACAUUAAAAUAGAGAAGAUAUUCAUGCAAAAGUUUGAUGUCCAAUUCUUCACUCAUUUUUAUUCACGGUAAUCUAGAAGGUGACAAAGUGCUCAACGAGAGAAGGACCUUUAUAUCAUCAAAUUCAAUCUACCUAACUUUUAUCCAGCUUCUUUAUUCACAAAACAAGUAUUCUACAUCAGCACAAGCACCAUAUUAUAAUGAGCAAAAUUAUAGGAGAACCAUAACAGUUCCACCGUGCUUUCAGAAUCUUGGUCCUAUAUCGACAUCUAAUGCUAAGAAAAAUCUGAGUCUAACAAAGUCAAGCCACACGGAGAAAGAGGACACCACAUACACAUUCAUAGAAAAUCCUAUGACCUUGAUAUCAUGCUACAAGAACGAGACGGUCGAAAUGUCAGACUUCCUGCAUCUUCGGUUGUCUCUACCUCAAGUGGGUCAUGUUUAUACUGCUUCCUGCAACCUGGACACCGCCCAUCCUCCUCAAGAAUCCUCUUGUGACAAAAGAGACAAAGCCUAAACCCACAAGGACAAGGGAGAAAGCUUGUGUCAGUAAAAUCCAAAUCCUCACAGCAUAUAGGACAUGAUGUGGGUAUCGAUAAACUUUUACAUCCCCAUACAGAGCCUCCCCGGUAAUGCCCCCCCAAAUUCAUAUGGAAAGCAAGGACAAGGGAGAAAGCUUGUGUCUGUAAAAUCCAAAUCCUCGCAGCAUAUAGGACAUGAUGUGGGUAUCGAUAAACUUUUACAUCCCCAUACAGAGGCUCCCCGGUAACGACGCCCCAAAUUCAUAGGGAAAGUAUACUGUUUCGAUAAAUUCGGAAGACUUUGUGGACGGAAUGUAUCAUAAGGCCUCCAUGCUCGAAAGCUGACAGGAGAUCUAGGUUCCCUGGACUUCUGCUUUGAUGAUAUAUCCAGCCCCGAUUUAUGCCGAUCAGGAUCUUCUGGAGAACUCACAUGCACCACAUUAUCAUCCCUCUCUGGAGCUGAAUCCAAGCUAGAGCUAAGCUGCUCUUGCUUCUCAUUAGUGGCAGCUAAAGCUACAGCUUCCCAAUCAUCCAAGCAGCCAUCGUCCCCUUCAUUAUCUUCCUCACUCAUACUUCCUGAACAACACCCACCACUGCUACUAAUGCUACUGCCACCUGUGAAAUUGGUCCCGGAAUCAUUCCCUUCCAACAAGCUACUAGUGUCGCUGGUAGGGCUAUUAGAAGAUGAGUCAAAAUCACUAUAGUUAUUUGUGCAACCUCCAUUCUCUUCUUCUUCUUCUUCUCCUCUGGGCUUUAUCACCAACUUCUCCAUCAAUCGUCCCCUCUCAUUAGCAACGUGCAUCCCCUGGACAGGAGCCCCUACCCCACCAUUCAAUUCCUCAUUGGAGCCUUUAUUCUUCACUACACAAGCCCAAUUACCUUGAAUUAAGGCACAUACAAACAGGAAAACUACAUAAUUAGUACUCCUUCCAUCCCAAUUUAUGUGACCAUAUUUGACUAAUCAUGGAGUUUAAAAAUGAAUGAAAGAAACCAUUGAAACAUGAGGUCUAAAAUAAGCCAUAGACAUUUGUCUGGCUACAGAUUAUCUCAUUAAGGGCAACAAUGGAAGUUUAAAGCUAAAUAUUUUCUAAUAUAAAAAUAUAUCAUAAUAUUUGGGACAGACUAAAAAGGAAAGAAUGUCACAUAAAUUUGGACAAAUGUACCAAUCUUGAGAUUGAUCAAAUAUUCACCAAAAGCACAGACGUAUUCAAAGAUGGCAACUUUAAUGGAUGUGAAAUACCUCUGUACCCAAAAAAAUUAUUUACAAUUGAUCUGAGUACUUUUAAUAUACAUACAUAUAUAUAUAUAUAUAUAUAAAAGAAAUGCAGGAAAGCUUAGAGAUGCAGGAUGUGGUUCAUCUCAAUAAUCUUACCGAUAUUCCCUUGUCUUCAAAUGCCAUUGCAUUAGCUAGUGAUGAAGUGGUAACGAUGAAUUUAGCCCUGAAUGACUUAGGCCUGGUAAGUGAUAAAUGUGUUUGCUCUUUGUGCUGAUUUUCACAUUUAGCUCAAAGUAACGGGUUUCUUUUUCACGUUACAGAGUACAAGAGCACGGUUGUGUCUUCGUGCAGCAGGACAAUGGGAGAAGCAGAAAAGGAAGAACGAGGAAAAGAUUGAUGGUAAUAAGAACAGCAUCAUGGAAGGAUUAAGCAAGAUACAGGAGUACCAGACCACGUGUGAUAUUCAGAAAGUCGGGUAUUAUGAUGCGUUCAAGCUUCAAGAGACCAUCGAUGACUUCAAUGCUAAUGUGAAAAGGCUGGAGCUAGCAGGAAUAUGGGACGAAAUCAUUGAAAUGUUGAAAAGGUAUGAGCUCCCAGAUAGUUUUGAGGGAAGAAAGGAAUGGAUAAAACUAGGGACGCAGUUCCGCAGGCAAGUUGAGCCCUUGGAUAUUGCAAAUUAUUACAGGCAUUUGAAGAAUGAAGAUACAGGACCUUACAUGAUCAGGGCUAGGCCGAAGCGUUAUAGGUUCGACCGGUUCGCCUGAAGAAAAUAAAACUCAAUCACAUUGGAAAGAAAAAAGCUUAAAUAUAAUUAAUUAAAAUGUAAAAGGAAACAGAAAUUUGAAGGAGAGAAAAAAGAACAAAUUAAACAAAUUGUUACCCUUUUUUUCUUGGCGAAAUCUUUGGGGUUAGAGGAAUGCAUAGGGAUUGAAGCAUUGGCGAUUGAAUCGGAACCCAUUAUGGUUGCUGAGUCGACUCGGUAACCAAAUUUGGCAGAAACCCUAAAUUGAUCAGACGAAUAUCUCAAAGAAUUUAGAAAUUAGAAGGAUAGGUGGAGUGUUAUAUAUAUAUAGAGAGAGAAGAUAACGGAAAUUUGCUUAAUGCAACGCUGCGGCUGUUUUAUACAUAAGUGGUGUACCGGUUUUGCCCUUGAUUUUUAC